GUGAAUCAUCGAAUCUUUGAACGCAAAUUGUACUCUCCUCGGAGAGUAUGCCUGUUUGAGGGCCAGCCUAUACAAAAUCGACAUCGUUGCUGUUUCCCGGUUGCGUUCGUCUGCAAUUGGGUCAUCUUAAAUCUUUGGUUUUUAAGCGACUUAAAAUUUUCUUUUUGGUUCCGUGCGCGUUUCUAAGAUUUAUUUCUUUCCACGUUUAUGGUAUCGAUUUUUAUUCGACGUGUCCAUCAUUUCUGCUCGCGCCCAUCAUCUUUCAUUC
This 268-nucleotide unclassified non-coding RNA is filed under the name Glomus sp. RNAcentral's name for it is "partial contains 5.8S ribosomal RNA and internal transcribed spacer 2". The stretch from base 1 to 65 matches the Rfam family "5.8S ribosomal RNA", at positions 84 to 154 of the family's 154-position model. The record is from RNAcentral. Lineage: Eukaryota; Fungi; Glomeromycota; Glomeromycetes; Glomerales; Glomeraceae.